Molecule: ribosomal RNA, 648 nt
Filed under: uncultured Actinomycetes bacterium
Lineage: Bacteria; Bacillati; Actinomycetota; Actinomycetes
Description: bacterial SSU rRNA
Rfam family: Bacterial small subunit ribosomal RNA
Source: RNAcentral
GUAGUCCGCGCCGUAAACGGUGGGCGCUAGUUGUGGGGACCUUCCACGGUCUCUGCGACGCAGCUAACGCAUUAAGCGCCCCGCCUGGGGAGUACGAUCGCAAGAUUAAAACUCAAAGGAAUUGACGGGGCCCCGCACAAGCAGCGGAGCAUGCGGCUUAAUUCGACGCAACGCGAAGAACCUUACCAAGGCUUGACAUAUACCGAAAAGCAGCAGAGAUGUUGUGUCCGCAAGGGCGGUAUACAGGUGGUGCAUGGUUGUCGUCAGCUCGUGUCGUGAGAUGUUGGGUUAAGUCCCGCAACGAGCGCAACCCUCGUUCUGUGUUGCCAGCAUUUAGUUGGGGACUCACAGGAGACUGCCGUGGUCAACACGGAGGAAGGUGGGGAUGACGUCAAAUCAUCAUGCCCCUUAUGUCUUGGGCUGCACGCAUGCUACAAUGGCAGGUACAAAGGGCUGCGAUACCGUAAGGUGGAGCGAAUCCCAAAAAGUCUGUCUCAGUUCGGAUUGAGGUCUGCAACUCGACCUCAUGAAGUCGGAGUUGUUAGUAAUCGUAGAUCAGCAACGCUACGGUGAAUACGUUCCCGGGGCUUGUACACACCGCCCGUCACGUCACGAAAGUCGGUAACACCCCAAAGUCAGUGGCCCAAC